RNAcentral lists this ribosomal RNA (606 nucleotides) under uncultured freshwater bacterium. RNAcentral's name for it is "bacterial SSU rRNA". It matches the Rfam family "Bacterial small subunit ribosomal RNA", at positions 8 to 607 of the family's 1533-position model. The record is from RNAcentral.
AGAGUUUGAUCCUGGCUCAGGAUGAACGCUAGCGGCAGGCUUAAUACAUGCAAGUCGAGGGGCAGCACAGUAUAGCAAUAUAUGGGUGGCGACCGGCAAACGGGUGCGUAACACGUACGCAACUUACCCUUUACUGGGAGAUAGCCCAGGGAAACUUGGAUUAAUAUCCCAUAUUGCAGAGAAUCGGCAUCGAUUUUCUGCCAAAGUUCCGACGGUAAAGGAUGGGCGUGCGGUUGAUUAGGUAGUUGGCGGGGUAACGGCCCACCAAGCCUACGAUCAAUAGCUGAUGUGAGAGCAUGAUCAGCCACACGGGCACUGAGACACGGGCCCGACUCCUACGGGAGGCAGCAGUAAGGAAUAUUGGGCAAUGGACGCAAGUCUGACCCAGCCAUGCCGCGUGAAGGAUGAAGGCCCUCUGGGUUGUAAACUUCUUUUAUCUGGGGCGAAAGGCGGUUAUUCUUAGCCGUUUGACAGUACCAGAGGAAUAAGCACCGGCUAACUCCGUGCCAGCAGCCGCGGUAAUACGGAGGGUGCAAGCGUUAUCCGGAUUCACUGGGUUUAAAGGGUGCGUAGGUGGAUCUGUAAGUCAGAGGUGAAAUCCCCGAG